Molecule: long non-coding RNA, 2120 nt
Filed under: Homo sapiens (human)
Lineage: Eukaryota; Metazoa; Chordata; Mammalia; Primates; Hominidae
Description: HSALNT0376910
Source: RNAcentral
GAGAGCAAAUCGGUUCCAAGGGCUCCUUUUUAUAAAAUGGGGAAACACAGCGGCACUCCUUCUUCCUUCCCAAAGACGGAUGUGUUUCAUCCCUGCCUAUCUGGAGCUGCUGUUCUAGUAUGGCACAGGCAGAUCGCCCAUCUCUGAAGAGCAAGAUGGGCGUGUACCCGGUUUCACUUUCACUGCAGACAGGAGAGUCUGUACACAAAGAAAUCUGAUGCUGUCAGGCCCAAGCAUUGGCCAGGAAAGGACUCAGUACAGACAGGACCACUCAGAGAAACAGAUUUUUUUUCCCUAGCUGGUUUUAGGUCAACGACAAUAAAACGUGAAUUCUGGAGAUUCAAAACCUCAAAUCUUCAACUUUUCACCUCGCACUUUUAUUCCUGGGACAAAAACUUGCUCAGCACAUCUCUUCCUAAAUUCCAAGACAGGCUGCUUGUUCUGUUCAGUCAAGAAUGCCAACCCAAGAAACAUUUUUGAAAGAUCACAGUCAACGUCAUUGCCAAAAGAAGAAGCUCUUGGCACACAAAGAACCUGGUUCAAUAUGAGAUGCCAGAUGGUGAUUUCAACUUCAGCUAAAUUCCUGCUGAGAAGUAUUUGAACUGCAGAUGAGAAAAUCUUCUGUGACAAAUUUCCAAGUGUUAGAAGCUUCAGAGGAAAAUGGCAAGUGUUGAUACCCUCUCUCCCCGCAACCACCACCACCAACCACAUGCACACAUACCAUGGAACAUACCUGCAUCUGGUAGCUAAGAUUCCAACAGAUGCCUCUGCCUUUUAAAAAGCCUAUGGACCCUGAUUUGAUUUUUACUAAAAGUAUAUUAACUGAGUCCAUUGGAAGCAAAUACCAUUUGAUUAAUAUGCAGUGCUUUUUCAAAGGGUGCGUUCCCUUAGCAUCGGAGAUAACUCUUUCCUGUCUUCCAAUAAUUCUGUUGUUAAUUGAUAAUUAAUUGAUAGUCAACUGAUACUCAGUGUAUCUCCCCUCCCUAGAUACUUUCAAAUUCCAGGAGAUACAUGUGAGGCAUAAAUUGAUGGUGCUCUGCCUGGAUGACCUUGAAUCUCUUUUGCUGGUUCUGUGUGCCCACACCCCAGCUUCAGUGUAUUUUGCUUUCUAAUGAUUAGCUUCUGCAACUAUCUUCAGAGGGUUGCCCUUGAACUACUGAAUUUCACCUGUUUGCACAGAGAACUGAAAGUGCCUGGGAGCUUACUGUGGCCCUGAGAUGCCCACAGCCAAUGAGUCACUGGUACAGGAAAUUGAAAGCCCAGCUCCCCCGAAUCAAGUCUGGGAAAAUUCUGAGGUGUAAUAUAUGCUCCAGAGCUCCAGUCAGCAAUAGGCUGAGACUGGGACUCUGCCUGAAUAACACUUGCACUUGGCUUUUUCCCUCCUUCUUUCCCUGUGUUGCUCCUGCCUCCCCACAUACCCCCUUGGAGGUCUCUCCUGUAACACAUCUUUCAUAUAACUCAUGUACAAAUUCUCGUCUUGGGAUCUGCUUCUGGGAAACUGACCUGUGAUGAUUCUGGGCAAUGGAAAAGUUCGAGUAUCCUGCUAAUAAAGAAAACAGAAAUUCUUUCUAGAACAAGGAACAUAUGCGUGCCUACUUUAUCAAUCAAAGUCUCAGAAGGAAAUAGUGGAUAAAGUCAAAGUAGGUAUUUGGAGAAAGAGUAGUAAUAAAGGGACUAUUUCCAAAGGUGUGGACUGGGUUCAGAGAGACAAGGAUAAGUGCCCACCUGGAAGCUAGGACCAGGAUGUGCCAUUGCCAACUCUAGGCCUCACUGGUAAAAGGAGAGUGUGGCUUUGCAAGCUGGUGACAGAAAUGUGUGGAGAGGCUGUGAGACAGGAGCUGUGACUUUACAGGUUGCAGCCAGCCUGCAGAGACCCUGCAAGGAGUUAGCACCAACCUUAUGCUCCAUCUUGCCUCCAAUCUUGUCAGCGCUACCCCAUCAGCUGAACAUAAUGGGAACUAGGGCUUGAGGGAGCCUGUUAAUGUAGUACAUCUAGGGUUAGCCUCUUGGGGCACACAGCAGGUGGAGAAGAGUAGGGAGAGGAUCUGAAGGGACAAACAGAAGCUUUCCAGCAGCACACUUGCCUACCUAUCUUACACACACACAGUUUGGCUGGUUCU